This 492-nucleotide ribosomal RNA is filed under the name uncultured bacterium. RNAcentral describes it as "partial 16S ribosomal RNA". It matches the Rfam family "Bacterial small subunit ribosomal RNA", at positions 29 to 507 of the family's 1533-position model. The record is from RNAcentral.
AGUGAACGCUGGCGGUAGGCCUAACACAUGCAAGUCGAACGGCAGCACAGUAAGAGCUUGCUCUUACGGGUGGUGAGUGGCGGACGGGUGAGGAAUACAUCGGAAUCUACUUUUUCGUGGGGGAUAACGUAGGGAAACUUACGCUAAUACCGCAUACGACCUACGGGUGAAAGCAGGGGAUCUUCGGACCUUGCGCGAUUGAAUGAGCCGAUGUCGGAUUAGCUAGUUGGCGGGGUAAAGGCCCACCAAGGCGACGAUCCGUAGCUGGUCUGAGAGGAUGAUCAGCCACACUGGAACUGAGACACGGUCCAGACUCCUACGGGAGGCAGCAGUGGGGAAUAUUGGACAAUGGGCGCAAGCCUGAUCCAGCCAUACCGCGUGGGUGAAGAAGGCCUUCGGGUUGUAAAGCCCUUUUGUUGGGAAAGAAAAGCAGCAGGUUAAUACCCCGCUGUUCUGACGGUACCCAAAGAAUAGGCACCGGCUAACUUCGUG